Molecule: ribosomal RNA, 494 nt
Filed under: uncultured bacterium
Lineage: Bacteria
Description: partial 16S ribosomal RNA
Rfam family: Bacterial small subunit ribosomal RNA
Source: RNAcentral
AUUGAACGCUGGCGGCAUGCUUUACACAUGCAAGUCGAACGGCAGCGGGGAGGAGCUUGCUUCUCUGCCGGCGAGUGGCGAACGGGUGAGUAAUACAUCGGAACGUGUCGAGAAGAGGGGGAUAACCACCCGAAAGGGUGGCUAAUACCGCAUAAAUUCUGAGGAAGAAAGCUGAGGACCUAGGAAUAGGCCUAGCGCUUUUUGAGCGGCCGAUGUCGGAUUAGCUAGUUGGUGAGGUAAAGGCUCACCAAGGCGAAGAUCUGUAGCGGGUCUGAGAGGAUGAUCCGCCACACUGGGACUGAGACACGGCCCAGACUCCUACGGGAGGCAGCAGUGGGGAAUUUUGGACAAUGGGGGCAACCCUGAUCCAGCCAUGCCGCGUGUAUGAAGAAGGCCUUAGGGUUGUAAAGUACUUUUGUUAGGGAAGAAAAGUCAGCUGUGAAUAAUGGCUGAUACUGACGGUACCUAAAGAAUAAGCACCGGCUAACUACGUG